Eucalyptus grandis is the source of this 162-nucleotide long non-coding RNA. RefSeq lists it as uncharacterized. NCBI's taxonomy places the organism in Eukaryota, Viridiplantae, Streptophyta, Magnoliopsida, Myrtales, Myrtaceae. The record is from RefSeq and is a predicted model, not a curated record. The transcript is spliced from 3 exons.
UUGGUGCUAACGUUCCAAAAGCCGUGGUACUUUGCCAAGUAGUGAAAGCCAAAGAGGACACGCUCAAUCAAUUAUACAGUUCGAUCAGUGCUCAAAGCACAGCAAGAAUUGAAGAACUGCUUCUAGAGGAUUAGAAUGUAAAACGUAAGAGGGAAAAAUGCC